Molecule: ribosomal RNA, 253 nt
Filed under: uncultured bacterium
Lineage: Bacteria
Description: partial 16S ribosomal RNA
Rfam family: Bacterial small subunit ribosomal RNA
Source: RNAcentral
UACGGGGAGGGCAAGCGUUGUUCGGAAUUACUGGGCGUAAAGGGCUCGUAGGUGGCCAACUAAGUCAGACGUGAAAUCCCCAGGCUCAACUUGGGAACUGCGUCUGAUACUGGAUGGCUUGAAUUCGGGAGAGGGAUGCAGAAUUCCAGGUGUAGCGGUGAAAUGCGUAGAUAUCUGGAGGAAUACCGGUGGCGAAGGCGGCAUCCUGGACCGAGAUUGACACUGAUGAGCGAAAGCCAGGGGAGCAAACGGG